RNAcentral lists this ribosomal RNA (469 nucleotides) under uncultured bacterium. RNAcentral's name for it is "bacterial SSU rRNA". It matches the Rfam family "Bacterial small subunit ribosomal RNA", at positions 335 to 795 of the family's 1533-position model. The record is from RNAcentral.
ACUCCUACGGGAGGCAGCAGUAGGGAAUCUUCCGCAAUGGACGAAAGUCUGACGGAGCAACGCCGCGUGAGCGAUGAAGGCCUUCGGGUCGUAAAGCUCUGUUGUUAGGGAAGAACAAGUACCGUUCGAAUAGGGCGGUACCUUGACGGUACCUAACCAGAAAGCCACGGCUAACUACGUGCCAGCAGCCGCGGUAAUACGUAGGUGGCAAGCGUUGUCCGGAAUUAUUGGGCGUAAAGCGCGCGCAGGCGGUUCUUUAAGUCUGAUGUGAAAGCCCACGGCUUAACCGUGGAGGGCCAUUGGAAACUGGAGAACUUGAGUGCAGAAGAGGAGAGCGGAAUUCCACGUGUAGCGGUGAAAUGCGUAGAGAUGUGGAGGAACGCCAGUGGCGAAGGCGGCUCUCUGGUCUGUAACUGACGCUGAGGCGCGAAAGCGUGGGGAGCGAACAGGAUUAGAUACCCUGGUAGUC